GUGACUGCGUACCUUUUGUAUAAUGGGUCAGCGACUUAUAUUCUGUAGCAAGGUUAACCGAAUAGGGGAGCCGAAGGGAAACCGAGUCUUAACUGGGCGUUAAGUUGCAGGGUAUAGACCCGAAACCCGGUGAUCUAGCCAUGGGCAGGUUGAAGGUUGGGUAACACUAACUGGAGGACCGAACCGACUAAUGUUGAAAAAUUAGCGGAUGACUUGUGGCU
RNAcentral lists this ribosomal RNA (221 nucleotides) under Escherichia coli. Its description in RNAcentral is "partial 23S ribosomal RNA". It matches the Rfam family "Bacterial large subunit ribosomal RNA", at positions 593 to 816 of the family's 2925-position model. Lineage: Bacteria; Pseudomonadati; Pseudomonadota; Gammaproteobacteria; Enterobacterales; Enterobacteriaceae. The record is from RNAcentral.